This is a long non-coding RNA of Neopsephotus bourkii (Bourke's parrot), 766 nucleotides long. RefSeq lists it as uncharacterized. NCBI's taxonomy places the organism in Eukaryota, Metazoa, Chordata, Aves, Psittaciformes, Psittacidae. The transcript has 3 exons. The record is from RefSeq and is a predicted model, not a curated record.
UGACUGCAUUCCUGGGAAGCAGGGCACAGCUUUGUUAACUCAGUAGAGUUGCACCCAGUUGCUUCAGGAGUUAAUCUGGCAGCUUCACUGCAAGGAACUGAUUCAGAAGCUUCUUCAACUGGUAACUGUGCCUCCCCUCGCGUAUGUGCACAGCACCUCACCUGUGAUGGUCUAACCCAAGGGGAGGAGGGUGUUGUGUGCCACAGCUGUCCAUUUACUCCUGUGAGCAGCUGUACCAUUUAGCUCUGGAGUGAUGGUCCAACAGCUUGCCUGAGGAGUAAGAGCUGAGACUAUUGAUUGCAAGCCAUCAGGUUUCAGCAGUCCAAAGGGAUCACCCUCUGGAAAAGAAAGGCAGAAAGAAGGAAUAAACCCAUAUACAGGAUGAGGGCGCAAUUGCAACUGAACUGACAAAUUAUAUUAAGAUGAUUUUGCGUAAUGUAAAUAAAUAGUAAUAAAAAGAGGUCCUCAGACCUCUUCUAUGCAGCACUGCUAUGUAGCCAGCCAGAGGUUUAGCAGCACACCAGUGGCCCACGUGGCCUUGCAGAGAAGAGCAUGCUGGUGAGGACCACAGCAAGGGCUGGAUGAGACAGGUGGUCCCCUAAAAGGGUUCCAAAUGGAGCAGAAGUUCCAUGGUCCUCCCCAUGAGCCUAUGCCCACUUUAUGCUUCGGUCUAGACAGAGCAAGAGGCACCACCUAAACCAGAGCCAGAGUGGAGUGGGUAAGGGAGUUAGUAACAAGCCCACCAGCCCUGUUGAGGCUUCACCAG